RNAcentral lists this unclassified non-coding RNA (274 nucleotides) under Hevea brasiliensis (rubber tree). The record is from RNAcentral. Lineage: Eukaryota; Viridiplantae; Streptophyta; Magnoliopsida; Malpighiales; Euphorbiaceae.
UAAGCUCCUUGGCAAGACUGCGAUUUCGCCUAGAUGAGGUUGCUUCAUAGACGAAGAAGUAAGCAGUGAACAAGAGGCCGAUCGCAAGCAUAGAGACAGCUAGGGUUGGGUAACAUGUGUCAGGGACGGGACUCGUGAUCGGUUUUGGAGCCAUUGGAGAUGAUGAAGAAGGAAGUAGGUCUCUCUCGCUUCGCUCUGGUCUCGAUCGAGAGAGUGAAGCCACGCGCUGGUAAAAGUUAAUAGGCUAAGAGCUUGGGGUUCAGUUUAUAUGACC